Molecule: long non-coding RNA, 210 nt
Filed under: Mytilus galloprovincialis (Mediterranean mussel)
Lineage: Eukaryota; Metazoa; Mollusca; Bivalvia; Mytilida; Mytilidae
Source: RNAcentral
UCAUAUGCUACUUUACUUGGUAUUUAGCUCUAAAGAAAUUGAGUGCGAUUUCUUCAUACAGAGAACAAGACAAAUAUUAGAUAGUUAUGUUUGCCAGGACUAUUAAUUUUGAUAAUUAUACAGUGAGCGAACACAUAUUAUAGCUUGUUUACUUACAAGUAGCAUAGAAUGUUAUUACUUUGCAUGCACAUAUACAAGAGUUAGUUUUUU